This 204-nucleotide unclassified non-coding RNA is filed under the name Hevea brasiliensis (rubber tree). The record is from RNAcentral. Lineage: Eukaryota; Viridiplantae; Streptophyta; Magnoliopsida; Malpighiales; Euphorbiaceae.
UUAAAAUUGAUUGUUAUAAAUGCAGCUCACAGCUACCAUUCUGAAAAGCUCAUACAUAGUUGAGCCUACAAUCUGAGUUAAGGUUAAAGCUUAGUAUGCUUAGUACUAGGGAACCAACAAUGAAACAAGAGGAAUAAGAGAUAAUAAAAAUGUCAUCCUUUUGAACUGACAGAACAUGAGUUGAGGACCACUAAAACAUAAAUG